This 649-nucleotide ribosomal RNA is filed under the name Salmonella enterica subsp. enterica serovar Schwarzengrund. RNAcentral describes it as "partial 23S ribosomal RNA". It matches the Rfam family "Bacterial large subunit ribosomal RNA", at positions 2176 to 2824 of the family's 2925-position model. The record is from RNAcentral. Lineage: Bacteria; Pseudomonadati; Pseudomonadota; Gammaproteobacteria; Enterobacterales; Enterobacteriaceae.
CUGCAUGGAGCCGGCCUUGAAAUACCACCCUUUAAUGUUUGAUGUUCUAACGUGGACCCGUGAUCCGGGUUGCGGACAGUGUCUGGUGGGUAGUUUGACUGGGGCGGUCUCCUCCUAAAGAGUAACGGAGGAGCACGAAGGUUGGCUAAUCCUGGUCGGACAUCAGGAGGUUAGUGCAAUGGCAUAAGCCAGCUUGACUGCGAGCGUGACGGCGCGAGCAGGUGCGAAAGCAGGUCAUAGUGAUCCGGUGGUUCUGAAUGGAAGGGCCAUCGCUCAACGGAUAAAAGGUACUCCGGGGAUAACAGGCUGAUACCGCCCAAGAGUUCAUAUCGACGGCGGUGUUUGGCACCUCGAUGUCGGCUCAUCACAUCCUGGGGCUGAAGUAGGUCCCAAGGGUAUGGCUGUUCGCCAUUUAAAGUGGUACGCGAGCUGGGUUUAGAACGUCGUGAGACAGUUCGGUCCCUAUCUGCCGUGGGCGCUGGAGAACUGAGGGGGGCUGCUCCUAGUACGAGAGGACCGGAGUGGACGCAUCACUGGUGUUCGGGUUGUCAUGCCAAUGGCACUGCCCGGUAGCUAAAUGCGGAAGAGAUAAGUGCUGAAAGCAUCUAAGCACGAAACUUGCCCCGAGAUGAGUUCUCCCUGAGACUUA